This 408-nucleotide ribosomal RNA is filed under the name Lentisphaerota bacterium. RNAcentral's name for it is "bacterial SSU rRNA". It matches the Rfam family "Bacterial small subunit ribosomal RNA", at positions 1 to 380 of the family's 1533-position model. The record is from RNAcentral. Lineage: Bacteria; Pseudomonadati; Lentisphaerota.
UUAUUUAUUUACGGAGAGUUUGAUUCUGGCUCAGAACGAACGCUGGCAGCGUGGAUUAGGCAUGCAAGUCGAACGCGAACCCCGCGGUAGCAAUAUCGCGGGGAGAGAGUGGCGCAAGGGUGAGUAACACGUGGGCAAUCUGCCUCCAAGUUGAGGAUAACCCGCCGAAAGGCAGGCUAAUACUGAAUGUGAUCGUCCGCCGCAUGGCGGAUUGUUUAAAGACGGGGACCCGCAAGGGCCGGUCACUUGGAGAGGAGCCCGCGUCCCAUCAGCUAGUUGGUGAGGUAACGGCUCACCAAGGCUUUGACGGGUAGCUGGUCUGAGAGGAUGGUCAGCCACACUGGGACUGAGACACUGCCCAGACUCCUACGGGAGGCUGCAGUCGAGGAUCAUUUGCAAUGGGCGCAA